RNAcentral lists this ribosomal RNA (590 nucleotides) under uncultured bacterium. Its description in RNAcentral is "bacterial SSU rRNA". It matches the Rfam family "Bacterial small subunit ribosomal RNA", at positions 338 to 917 of the family's 1533-position model. The record is from RNAcentral.
CCUACGGGGAGGCAGCAGUGGGGUAAUUUUGGACAAUGGGCGCAAGCCUGAUCCAGCAAUGCCGCGUGAGUGAAGAAGGCCUUCGGGUUGUAAAGCUCUUUUGUCAGGGAAGAAACGGUCUACUCUAAUACAGUGGGCUAAUGACGGUACCUGAAGAAUAAGCACCGGCUAACUACGUGCCAGCAGCCGCGGUAAUACGUAGGGUGCAAGCGUUAAUCGGAAUUACUGGGCGUAAAGCGUGCGCAGGCGGUUAUAUAAGUCAGAUGUGAAAUCCCCGGGCUCAACCUGGGAACUGCAUUUGAGACUGUAUGGCUAGAGUGUGUCAGAGGGGGGUAGAAUUCCACGUGUAGCAGUGAAAUGCGUAGAUAUGUGGAGGAAUACCGAUGGCGAAGGCAGCCCCCUGGGAUAACACUGACGCUCAUGCACGAAAGCGUGGGGAGCAAACAGGAUUAGAUACCCUGGUACGUCCACGCCCUAAACGAUGUCUACUAGUUGUCGGGACUUAAUUGUCUUGGUAACGNAGCUAACGCGUGAAGUAGACCGCCUGGGGAGUACGGGUCGCAAGAUUAAAACNCGAAAGGAUUGACGGU